CUAGUAACUGCGAGUGAAGCGGGAAAAGCUCAAAUUUAAAAUCUGGUGGUCUCUGGCCAUCCGAGUUGUAAUCUAGAGAAGCGUCUUCCGUGCCGGACCGUGUACAAGUCUCUUGGAACAGAGCAUCAUANAGGGUGAGAAUCCCGUCUUUGACAUGGACUACCGGUGCUUUGUGAUGCGCUCUCAAAGAGUCGCGUUGUUUGGGAAUGCAGCGCAAAAUGGGUGGUGAAUUCCAUCUAAAGCUAAAUAUUGGCGAGAGACCGAUAGCGAACAAGUACCGUGAGGGAAAGAUGAAAAGCACUUUGGAAAGAGAGUUAAACAGUACGUGAAAUUGUUGAAAGGGAAACGCUUGAAGUCAGUCGCGUCUGGCGGAACUCAGCCUUGCUUUUGCUUGGUGCACUUUCCGUCUGACGGGCCAGCAUCAAUUUUGGUCGCCGGAUAAAGUUCAGUGGAAUGUGGCACCCUCGGGUGUGUUAUAGCCUCUGUUCGCAUACGGCGGCUGGGAUUGAGGUCUGCAGCACGCCUUUUGGCCGGGGUUCGCCCACGUACGUGCUUAGGAUGCUGGCGUAAUGKCUUUAAACGACCCGUCUUGAAACACGGACCAAGGAGUCUAACAUGCCUGCGAGUGUUUGGGUGGAAAACCCAUGCGCGUAAUGAAAGUGAUAG
RNAcentral lists this ribosomal RNA (666 nucleotides) under Vuilleminia erastii. Its description in RNAcentral is "LSU rRNA". It matches the Rfam family "Eukaryotic large subunit ribosomal RNA", at positions 80 to 731 of the family's 3401-position model. Lineage: Eukaryota; Fungi; Basidiomycota; Agaricomycetes; Corticiales; Vuilleminiaceae. The record is from RNAcentral.